AUGAGAGUAUUCAACCCUUGCUUCGGGUAAUACUUUCGUAGUUCAGACAUGGAGGAUGCCAAACACUUAUCUCUUCAUUGUUCAGCUGCUAUAGAUUGUCUCAAGUAUGAACUUGCUCAUCUUGGUUUGUGGAUAACAACUUGAACAAUUCUUUUCAUUGGACUCACUUGGAAGCACAAAAAAUCCAUAAGAAGCUACAACAAUUCAUUCCAAG
This 214-nucleotide unclassified non-coding RNA is filed under the name Hevea brasiliensis (rubber tree). Lineage: Eukaryota; Viridiplantae; Streptophyta; Magnoliopsida; Malpighiales; Euphorbiaceae. The record is from RNAcentral.